AUUGAACGCUGGCGGCAGGCCUAACACAUGCAAGUCGAGCGGAUGAAGGGAGCUUGCUCCUGGAUUCAGCGGCGGACGGGUGAGUAAUGCCUAGGAAUCUGCCUGGUAGUGGGGGAUAACGUCCGGAAACGGGCGCUAAUACCGCAUACGUCCUGAGGGAGAAAGUGGGGGAUCUUCGGACCUCACGCUAUCAGAUGAGCCUAGGUCGGAUUAGCUAGUUGGUUGGGUAAAGGCCUACCAAGGCGACGAUCCGUAACUGGUCUGAGAGGAUGAUCAGUCACACUGGAACUGAGACACGGUCCAGACUCCUACGGGAGGCAGCAGUGGGGAAUAUUGGACAAUGGGCGAAAGCCUGAUCCGGCCAUGCCGCGUGUGUGAAGAAGGUCUUCGGAUUGUAAAGCACUUUAAGUUGGGAGGAAGGGCAGUAAGUUAAUACCUUGCUGUUUUGACGUUACCAACAGAAUAAGCACCGGCUAACUUCGUG
This 484-nucleotide ribosomal RNA is filed under the name uncultured bacterium. Its description in RNAcentral is "partial 16S ribosomal RNA". It matches the Rfam family "Bacterial small subunit ribosomal RNA", at positions 30 to 507 of the family's 1533-position model. The record is from RNAcentral.